AUUGGUGGUUUGCCUAAAUAUGUGUCUGUGUGAGGGUGUCAGGUCUCCCAGAAUUGGAGUUAUAGGCAGUUGUGAGCUGCCAUGGGUUCUGGGAAUUGAACUCAGAACCUCUGUAAGAACUGCCAGUGCUCUUAACUCUUAACCACUGAGCAAUCUUUCCAGCCCUGUUUUAUUUUAUUUUUUUAAUUUUUUUUUUUUUUUGAGGCAGGGUCUUACUAUCUAGCUCUGGUUGUCCUGGAACUCACUAUGUAGACCAGAAUGGCCUUAAACUCACAGAAAAAUGCCUCCCCCUGCCUCCUGAGUGCUGGAAUUAAAGGCAUGUACCUCAUACCUAGCUCAGUGUUUUGUUUUUGUUUUUGUUUUUUUUUUUUGGUUUUUUGGAUACCAGUAAAUAACUGGAAUAUUGUUGGACCAAAUAGAAAAUAAUCUAGCUCUGUAUAGUUUGUGAGAGUCAUAUCUAUGUAUAAGGGAGACAUAAGGAAUCAGAUUGGAAGUAAAGGUGUGGAAAAACCUAUUCUAAAAGAAGUUAGUGAAGCAUAUUAGUGGUACAGAAAAUUCAUUUGAAGGCAAAGUCAUUAUUAGAGUUAAAAAUUGGGCUGGAGAGAUGGAUCAGCGUUUAAGAGCAUUGACUGCUCUUCCAAAGGUCCUGAGUUCAAAUCUCAGCGACCACAUGGUGGCUCACAACCAUCCGUAGUGAGAUCUGAUGCCCUCUUCUGGUGUGUCAGAACACAGCUACAGUGUACUGCAGAUACAGUGUAUUCAGAUUUAUAAUAAAUAAAUCUUUAAAAAAAAGAAUUAUAAUAAAUAAAUCUUUAAAAAAAAAAGAAAAGAAAAAGAAACCUUGCCUAGAGUUAAAAAUAAUUAGGAGAAAUUUAAUAAUUAGGAGUAAUUAAGGUGGCACAUGACUAAUUUCAGCUGCUCAGGAGACUGAGACAGGAAGAUAGCUUGAGCCUAGCCUAGGCCACCCUUGGCAACAAAGCAAGACUCUAUUUAUUUAUUUAUUUAUUUAUUUACGGUCUUUUUGGAUAUAACAUAGUUCUGGCUGACAUGGCCAUAUUCCUGCUUCUGUCUUUUAAGUGCCACCGUGUCUGACUAAGAUGCCAGUCAAGAGUGAAUUCAGGGGAGGAGAUGAGAGAGAAUCUGUAUCUCCAUAUGGAUAAACAAAUAUAUAAUGCAGGAAGAAAUCUGUGAGUAUAAUUGUAGGAGUAGUUUGGUAGUUCCACACAGUGAGAAUUCUGACUGUUUUGAGUAACCUAAAGUCAUAUGGGCAAACAUUUUUUGAGAAAAUAUACUAAAAAUUUGAAUAACCAUCAAGCUCCAUUUGAUAGGCAUGCACAGAGUCUUAAUAGAUGAGGACAUACUUUAAAAAAAAAACUAAAAAUAUUGAAUACAUGCUAAAUUCACAUUAAGUCUAAGCAAUACCACUGAGUAGAUGGAUGUUAAGCAGACUGCCAAUUAUAUUUUGUUAACGCAAUAUAGAUUAAAAUUGAGCAAAAUAAUAACCCAAAGAAUACUAUUUGGAACUUUUAAAGAAACUGGUAGG
RNAcentral lists this long non-coding RNA (1543 nucleotides) under Mus musculus (house mouse). RNAcentral's name for it is "long non-coding RNA chr6:29799858-29801401". The record is from RNAcentral. Lineage: Eukaryota; Metazoa; Chordata; Mammalia; Rodentia; Muridae.